Molecule: ribosomal RNA, 253 nt
Filed under: uncultured bacterium
Lineage: Bacteria
Description: partial 16S ribosomal RNA
Rfam family: Bacterial small subunit ribosomal RNA
Source: RNAcentral
UACGAAGGGGGCGAGCGUUGUUCGGAUUUACUGGGCGUAAAGGGCGCGUAGGCGGCCCUCCUAGUCGCGUGUGAAAGCCCCGAGCUCAACUUGGGAAUUGCAGUGGAUACUGGCGAGCUAGAGUGCGGUAGAGGAAGGUGGAAUUCCCGGUGUAGCGGUGAAAUGCGUAGAGAUCGGGAGGAACACCAGUGGCGAAGGCGGCCUUCUGGACCAGCACUGACACUCAAGCACGAAAGCGUGGGGAGCAAACAGG